UGUUGUGGGAAAUGUACUUCCGGGUUAUCGGGGUAUGGAUCGCAUUUUAAUGCAAACAAUUAUUAGAUACAGAUACCUAAUUACCAGACGCUUUCGCUUAAUUUAAACACAACAAACAUGGGGAAGAAGCAUAAAAAGCACAAGCCGGAGUGGAGAACAGUUGAUGACUGUGAGGACAAGCCUUUUGAGAAGCAGCUGAAGCUGGUGCUCAAAGUGGGAGGAAGUGAGAUCACAGAACUCUCAGGCUCCGGCCAUGACUCCAGUUACUACGACGACAGGUCAGACCAUGAACGAGAGCGCCACAAGGACAAAAAGAAGAAGAAGAAGAAAAAGUCUGAGAAGGAGAAAGACAAACACGUAGAUGAUGAGGAGAGGAGAAGACGGAAGGAGGAGAAGAGGAAGAAGAGAGAGCGGGAGCAGAAUGAAUCAGAGGCUGCUACUGCCUCUGCCUGUGGUGUAGGCCUGCCCAGUGUUGUGCCCAGUCACACUGGUGUGGCAGUCGAGCCUUUCAUGCUGCCAAAGAUACCAAACAUUGGUAUUAGUUUUGAGCAGCAGCAGCAGCAGCAGGAGGAGAAGAAGAGGAAGAGGGAGAGGUCUGAGAUGGAGCCAGAGGUGAUGGACCACUUUCACCCCAACAUCAAGGUAGAGGUGGAGCAACAAGGAGACCGGCCUGUCAGGGCUUGCAGGACAGCCCCGGAGAGUGAGUGCACCCCUCGACAGCAGCUCCUGGAACACUUCCUGCGCCAGCUUCAGAGGAAGGAUGCCCAUGGCUUCUUCACUUUCCCAGUGACAGACGCCAUCGCUCCAGGUUACUCUGUGAUAAUCAAACACCCCAUGGAUUUCAGCACCAUGAACGACAAGAUCACAGACAACGAGUACAAAACCGUCACAGAGUUCAAGGCGGACUUCAAGCUGAUGUGUGAUAAUGCCAUGGUGUAUAACCGUCCAGAGACCGUUUACUACAAGGCUGCCAAGAAACUGCUGCACACUGGCUUCAAGAUGAUGAGCAAAGAGCGGCUGUUAGCACUGAAGCGCAGCAUGUCUUUCAUGCAGGACAUGGAUUUCUCUCAGCAGGCGGCCAUUUUAGGGGACGAGGAUGUGGCGUCUGAGGAGCCCCCUCCGGAGGUCAUCCCCAUGCCCGUGGAGUCGGCGUCGGCCAAGAAAUCCAAGAAGCAGCCCAAAGACAUCAAAGAUAUGAAGGAAGUCAUCAGCUGUUACCUGUAUGAGCCAGAGGGGAACGCCUGCAGCCUGACUGACAGCACAGCGGAGGAACACGUUCUGGCCCUGGUGGAGCACGCUGCAGAUGAAGCACACGACCGCAUCAACCGAUACAUGCCCAACUCCAAGAUGGGUUACCUGAGGAAAGAGCCUGAUGGUAAUCUGUUGUACACUGUAGUGAAUCAGCUGAAUCCAGAAGCAAAAGAGGAGGAGACCCACCCUGUGGACCUGAGCUCUCUGUCCAAUAAGCUCCUACCUGGAUUAACAACACUGGGUUUUAAAGAUGACAGGAGACACAAGGUGACGUUCCUGAGCAGUACCUAUAACACCCAGACCCUACAGAACAACUCCAUCUACCCAGACCUGCUGCCUGAUGAGAUGGACCUGCUGUACUCAGCCUACGGGGACGAGACUGGGGUACAGUGUGCUCUCAGUAUUCAGGAGUUUGUUAAAGGUUGUGGGAACGUUACUAAACAUUUGGUUGACGGGCUGCUGGAUAAGAUGACUGCAGGGGAUCACUCUAAGGCUGUCUACCAGAUCAGACAGAAAAGAAACAUGGCGUUACCGGAUGAAACCAAGAACAACAUUUACGAUAUGCAGAUGGCUGAUGGGACAGGUCUGGGAGAGGGCAGCUCAGUGCUGGACUUCAUGUCCAUGAAGAGCUACUCUGACAUGUCUCUGGAGAUGUCCAUGCUCAACUCUUUAGGGAAGUCAGUGAAGAAGGAGCCGGAGCAUGAAGACGGGGUCAGCCAGCAGCACUUUGAGGAGGCAGCCAAGCUGCUGCAGGAGUUCCAGGAAGGCCAGGUGGAGAGGGGAGGCUCCAGACCCUCCUCUAACCUCUCCUCCCUGUCAGGGACCUCAGACAGGGACCAGCACCACCUGGGGAGUCCCUCACACCUGGGUGUUGGUGACCAGUCUGAGAUGGUUCAUGACCCGUAUGAGUUCCUCCAGUCCCCAGAGCCAGGCUCCACAUCCAACAGCUGACCUAUGAGUUCCUCCAGUCUCCAGAGCCAGGCUCCACAUCCAACAGCUGACCUAUGAGUUCCUCCAGUCUCCAGAGCCAGGCUCCACAUCCAACAGCUAACCUAUGAGUUCCUCCAGUCCCCAGAGCCAGGCUCCACAUCCAACAGCUGGCCUAUGAGUUCCUCCAGUCCCCAGAGCCAGGCUCCACAGCCAACAGCUAACCUAUGAGUUCCUCCAGUCCCCAGAGCCAGGCUCCACAUCCAACAGCUGACCUAUGAGUUCCUCCAGUCCCCAGAGCCAGGCUCCACAUCCAACAGCUGACCUAUGAGUUCCUCCAGUCCCCAGAGCCAGGCUCCACAGCCAACAGCUGACCUAUGAGUUCCUCCAGUCCCCAGAGCCAGGCUCCACAUCCAACAGCUGACCUAUGAGUUCCUCCAGUCUCCAGAGCCAGGCUCCACAUCCAACAGCUAACCUAUGAGUUCCUCCAGUCCCCAGAGCCAGGCUCCACAUCCAACAGCUGACCUAUGAGUUCCUCCAGUCCCCAGAGCCAGGCUCCACAUCCAACAGCUGACCUAUGAGUUCCUCCAGUCUCCUGAGCCAGGCUCCACAUCCAACAGCUGACCUAUGAGUUCCUCCAGUCCCCAGAGCCAGGCUCCACAUCCAACAGCUGACCUAUGAGUUCCUCCAGUCCCCAGAGCCAGGCUCCACAUCCAACAGCUGACCUAUGAGUUCCUCCAGUCUCCAGAGCCAGGCUCCACAUCCAACAGCUGACCUAUGAGUUCCUCCAGUCUCCAGAGCCAGGCUCCACAUCCAACAGCUAACCUAUGAGUUCCUCCAGUCCCCAGAGCCAGGCUCCACAUCCAACAGCUGACCUAUGAGUUCCUCCAGUCCCCAGAGCCAGGCUCCACAGCCAACAGCUAACCUAUGAGUUCCUCCAGUCCCCAGAGCCAGGCUCCACAUCCAACAGCUGACCUAUGAGUUCCUCCAGUCCCCAGAGCCAGGCUCCACAUCCAACAGCUGACCUAUGAGUUCCUCCAGUCCCCAGAGCCAGGCUCCACAGCCAACAGCUGACCUAUGAGUUCCUCCAGUCCCCAGAGCCAGGCUCCACAUCCAACAGCUGACCUAUGAGUUCCUCCAGUCUCCAGAGCCAGGCUCCACAUCCAACAGCUAACCUAUGAGUUCCUCCAGUCCCCAGAGCCAGGCUCCACAUCCAACAGCUGACCUAUGAGUUCCUCCAGUCCCCAGAGCCAGGCUCCACAUCCAACAGCUAACCUAUGAGUUCCUCCAGUCCCCAGAGCCAGGCUCCACAUCCAACAGCUGACCUAUGAGUUCCUCCAGUCCCCAGAGCCAGGCUCCACAUCCAACAGCUGACCUAUGAGUUCCUCCAGUCCCCAGAGCCAGGCUCCACAUCCAACAGCUGACCUAUGAGUUCCUCCAGUCUCCUGAGCCAGGCUCCACAUCCAACAGCUGACCUAUGAGUUCCUCCAGUCCCCAGAGCCAGGCUCCACAUCCAACAGCUGACCUAUGAGUUCCUCCAGUCUCCUGAGCCAGGCUCCACAUCCAACAGCUGACCUAUGAGUUCCUCCAGUCUCCUGAGCCAGGCUCCACAUCCAACAGCUGACCUAUGAGUUCCUCCAGUCCCCAGAGCCAGGCUCCACAUCCAACAGCUGACCUAUGAGUUCCUCCAGUCCCCAGAGCCAGGCUCCACAUCCAACAGCUGACCUAUGAGUUCCUCCAGUCUCCUGAGCCAGGCUCCACAUCCAACAGCUGACCUAUGAGUUCCUCCAGUCCCCAGAGCCAGGCUCCACAUCCAACAGCUGACCUAUGAGUUCCUCCAGUCUCCUGAGCCAGGCUCCACAUCCAACAGCUGACCUAUGAGUUCCUCCAGUCUCCUGAGCCAGGCUCCACAUCCAACAGCUAACUCACACACUGGCAAGUUGGCUCUAACUAGGGUAGCUCUGGUCACAAUACCAGUAUCACUAUACUAUGAUACUCCACUUUCCAAGGCAAAAAAGGAAACACGAAACUGUUUUAACUCUUUAAAAACCUGCUUUAUCUAAAAUAUUGUUUUCUGUAGCUUGAAAAACAAACAAAUGUGACUCUGGGUGACAACAUAAUGCUGCUUGUUUGUAUCCAACAUUAGGACUUCUGAGUAUAGCGAUUCUGCUAUUGAGACACUACUAGGGAGUUGGUAGACAAUGCCUCUAACUACUGGUCUGGGGUCAGACAUUGUUUGAUGGGUAAUCUGAUCCUAGAUCUGUGGCUUAGAGGAAACUUCUACUCAGAGCUGAUCUGACGUCCUGUUUUUAACCACACUGGUUGUUUUGUUGUCUGACUCUGCUCUCAACACCCUGGGAACAACGAGAGUGAACCUCAGACAUGUUGUGAAAGGUCAUCAUGAUUGUACAGAUUAUUUGUAUGUGCGCUAUACUUAAGAGAAUAAAGUCGCCACAGGUUGUGUUUUUACACAGUACUGUGUCAUCAGGUUGUGUUUUUACACAGUACUGUGUCAUCAGGUUGUGUUUUUACACAGUACUGUGUCAUCAGGUUGUGUUUUUACACAGUACUGUGUCAUCAGGUUGUGUUUUUACACAGUACUGUGUCAUCAGGUUGUGUUUUUACACAGUACUGUGUCAUCAGGUUGUGUUUUUACACAGUA
Salmo salar (Atlantic salmon) is the source of this 4840-nucleotide non-coding RNA. The record is from RefSeq and is a predicted model, not a curated record. NCBI's taxonomy places the organism in Eukaryota, Metazoa, Chordata, Actinopteri, Salmoniformes, Salmonidae.